RNAcentral lists this ribosomal RNA (274 nucleotides) under uncultured bacterium. RNAcentral describes it as "partial 16S ribosomal RNA". It matches the Rfam family "Bacterial small subunit ribosomal RNA", at positions 523 to 796 of the family's 1533-position model. The record is from RNAcentral.
AUACGGAGGGUGCAAGCGUUACUCGGAAUCACUGGGCGUAAAGCGCGCGCAGGCGGGCUGAUAAGUUGGAUGUGAAGGCCUACGGCUCAACCGUAGAACUGCAUCCAAAACUGUCAGUCUAGAGUCUGGGAGGGGAAGAUGGAAUUAGUUGUGUGGGGGUAAAAUCCGUAGAGAUAACUAGGAAUACCAAAAGCGAAGGCGAUCUUCUGGAACAGUACUGACGCUGAGGCGCGAAAGCGUGGGGAGCAAACAGGAUUAGAAACCCUAGUAGUCC